CAUCUCUGGAAGGAAGGAAUGGGUGAAGUUUUGGGUCGAGAAGUCUGAAGAAGGGUCUCGACCCGAAACGUCACCCAUUCCUUCUCUCGAGAUGCUGCCUGUCCCGC
Long non-coding RNA from Amblyraja radiata (thorny skate), 107 nucleotides. RefSeq lists it as uncharacterized. The record is from RefSeq and is a predicted model, not a curated record. The transcript has 3 exons. Lineage: Eukaryota; Metazoa; Chordata; Chondrichthyes; Rajiformes; Rajidae.